AUGAUUACAAUGGAAGAAACUCAAAUCAGAAGGUUGACAAGAGGAAAUUUAACUGCCAUAAUUGUGGUGAACAAGGACACUUCAGAUUUGAGUGCACUAAGAAGAGGAAGCCGGAUGAUAAGAAGUAUAACAACAACUAGUCCAAACGUCAGGAUAAUAGAAGGGGAAAUUCGUCACCUGAUGGGAGGCCUUGGUGAAAGGAAGUCGACGUCAGAUUGUCUAUUUACUUUGGCUGGAUGUGCUAUCCCUUGGAAGAGCAAGAAACAAACUUUUGUGGCGCAGUCUUCUAUGGAAGCAGAGUACAUUACUGCGAAUGAAGCUAUAAAAGAUGGAGUUUGGUUGAGGAACUUUCUGGUUUCUCUAGAGAGAGUUGAAAAUGCGUCAGAUCCGGUCACUGUUUAUUGUGAUAAUCAAGCGGCGAUUAAACUUUCCAGGGAUCCCAAGUUUCAUAGCAGGGGUAGACAUGUUGAG
RNAcentral lists this ribosomal RNA (471 nucleotides) under Triticum aestivum (bread wheat). Its description in RNAcentral is "partial small subunit ribosomal RNA". The record is from RNAcentral. Lineage: Eukaryota; Viridiplantae; Streptophyta; Magnoliopsida; Poales; Poaceae.